GGGGCUGUAGCUCAGCAGGAUAGAGCGAGUGCCUCCUAAGCACUAGGUCGUGCGUUCGAAUCGCACCAGUCCCG
Molecule: transfer RNA, 74 nt
Filed under: Candidatus Synechococcus calcipolaris G9
Lineage: Bacteria; Bacillati; Cyanobacteriota; Cyanophyceae; Synechococcales; Synechococcaceae
Description: tRNA-Arg
Rfam family: tRNA
About the family: Transfer RNA (tRNA) molecules are approximately 80 nucleotides in length. Their secondary structure includes four short double-helical elements and three loops (D, anti-codon, and T loops).
Source: RNAcentral